Molecule: ribosomal RNA, 477 nt
Filed under: uncultured bacterium
Lineage: Bacteria
Description: partial 16S ribosomal RNA
Rfam family: Bacterial small subunit ribosomal RNA
Source: RNAcentral
GAUGAACGCUGGCGGCGUGCCUAAUACAUGCAAGUCGAGCGAACAGACGAGGAGCUUGCUCCUCUGACGUUAGCGGCGGACGGGUGAGUAACACGUGGAUAACCUACCUAUAAGACUGGGAUAACUUCGGGAAACCGGAGCUAAUACCGGAUAAUAUAUUGAACCGCAUGGUUCAAUAGUGAAAGACGGUGUUGCUGUCACUUAUAGAUGGAUCCGCGCCGCAUUAGCUGGUUGGUAAGGUAACGGCUUACCAAGGCGACGAUGCGUAGCCGGCCUGAGGGGGUGACCGUCCACACUGGGACGGAGACACGGCACAGACUCCUACGGGAGGCAGCAGUGGGGAAUAGUGCACAAUGGGCGAAAGCCUGAUGCAGCAACGCCGCGUGAGGGACGACGGCCGUCGGGUUGUAAACCUCUUUUAGCAGGGAAGAAGCGAAAGUGACGGUACCUGCAGAAAAAGCGCCGGCUAACUACGUG